RNAcentral lists this ribosomal RNA (2478 nucleotides) under Triticum aestivum (bread wheat). Its description in RNAcentral is "partial small subunit ribosomal RNA". Lineage: Eukaryota; Viridiplantae; Streptophyta; Magnoliopsida; Poales; Poaceae. The record is from RNAcentral.
AUGCUAAUAGUCAUGGAGAACCCCCCUCUGCUAAAACUCAUCUCACUCGCUCUACUACUAAUAGCCUGGUUUCCCCCGGCCAUGGCAGUGCCGCCAUCACUGCAAGAACAAGCAGGGGCCCUUCUCGCCUGGAAAGCCACACUACGAAGCCACCCAGCCCAGCUUCAAUCGUGGGCAAGGCGAAACAACACUGUGUGGCCGUGCAGCUGGUACGGCAUCAGGUGCAGCAAGCAUCAACCAAGGCACCAAGAGGUGAUCACCGAGAUCUCUCUACGGGGGCUGCGGCUGAGAGGGGAGCUGAACGCCCUAAACUUCACGGCGUUGCGUACUCUGUCGAGUAUCCAACUCUCCCACAAUCAGAUAAGGGGCUUCUUUCCACCUUCUUUAGCAUCAUCCUUGCCAAACCUUCAACACCUAAUGCUUCAGGAGAAUCAACUCUCUGGUGAAAUACCAUGGCAAAUAGAACAAUUACAGAAUCUCGUUGGACUGGAUUUAUCAGCAAAUCACUUGUCUAGCACCAUCCCCAGUGUACUAGGCUACCUAAAGAAACUACUUAGGGUAGAUUUAUCCAACAACAACCUCACAGGCCCUAUCCCAAGAAGUUUAGGAAACUGCACUAAGCUCACUACCUUAUACCUUUCUGGUAAUCAAUUAUCUGGGCUUCUUCCUCGAGAACUAGGUUACCUAGCGAAUUUACAAGAGUUGGAUCUUAGCAACAACAAACUUGUCGGUUCCAUCCCCAGUGUACUAGGUUACCUAAAAAAACUACAUAGGGUAAAUUUAUCCAACAACAACCUCACAGGCCCCAUUCCAAGAAAUUUAGGGAAUUGUACUGAGCUCACUAUAUUAUACCUUUAUGGUUGUCAAUUAUCUGGAUAUCUUCCUCGAGAACUAGGUUACCCGUCAAAUUUACAAGAGUUGGCUCUUAGCCAUAACAAACUCAUUGGUUGCAUCCCCAAUGAACUAGGCUACCUACAGAAACUGCAUAGGAUGGAUUUAUCUAGCAACAACCUCACUGGCCCCAUUCCAACUAAUUUCGGGAAUUUAACAAAGCUCACUUUCUUGCUCCUUGGUCGUAAUCAACUAUCCAGAUACAUUCCUCGAGAAUUAGGUUACCUGCUAAAUUUACAAGAGUUGGCUCUUGAGAAAAACAACCUCAUUGGUUCCAUCCCCAAUACCUUUGGGCAUCUCAUUAACCUCAAUGGCUUGUACCUUUGGGGUAACAAACUUUUCGAGCAUAUUCCUCAAGAGCUAGGUAACCUAGUGAAUCUACAAGAUUUGGAACUUAGUGAUAACCAACUCAUUGGUUCCAUCCCAAGUACCUUUGGAAAUCUAACUAAGCUCACUAUCUUGUACCUUGAUGGCAAUAAGUUCACCAACUUUCUUCCCCGAGAACUAGGCUACCUAGUGAAUUUAGAAGAUUUGGAACUUAGCAGGAACCAACUCAUCGGUUCCAUCCCCAAUGUCUUUGGAAAUUUUACCAAGCUCACUAUCUUGUACCUCUAUGAUUACCAGUUCACCGGAUAUCUUCCUCGAGAACUAGGUUACCUAAUGAAUCUACAAGAUUUGGAGCUACACAAGAACAAACUCAUGGGUUCCAUCCCCAAUAUAUUUGGAAAUUUGACUAAGCUCACUCGCUUGAACCUCAAUGAAAAUCAAUUCUCUGGACAUGUUCCUCAAGAAAUUGGUUCCUCAAGCGAUCUUGUGGCACUACACUUGGAGAGUAACAAUAUCUCUGGUCCCUUACCACCUGAGUUGUGCUCCGGAGGCCGGCUAAAGAAUUUAACUGCAUUUGAUAACAACCUAAAUGGACCUCUGCCGUCAAGUUUGGUACACUGCACAAGCCUAGUUAGAGUUCGUCUUGAAAGGAAUCAAAUAGAAGGAGAUAUUUCUGAGUUGGGAGCUUAUCCAAAUCUGGUGUACAUGGAGAGGAGCUCGAAUAAAAUAUUUGGCCAAUUAUCUUAUCGUUGGGGGGAGUGUCGUAGUCUUACUAUGCUACGCCUCUCAAACAACAACCUCACAGGCAAAAUACCCAUAAGUAUGGGGCAAGUGUCUCAGCUAGGGCUACUUGAUCUUUCAUCAAACAAGCUUGAAGGAGAGAUUCCAAGUGCACUAGGCAAUCUAAAAAAAUUGUUCAACUUGAGCCUCGUAGACAAUUUGCUGCAUGGAAGCAUACCACAAGAAAUUGGGGCACUGUCCAGUCUAGAACUGCUAGAUUUGUCAUCAAAUAGCCUAAGUGGCUUGGUACAAGGACCAAUUGAGAAUUAUUUAAAGCUUCGCUCGUUGAAUUUGAGACGCAAUAACUUCAAAGGGAACAUCCCUACCAUUCUAGGGGUGUUGCACAACUUACACAUGUUGGAUUUAAGUGAUAAUUCAUUUUCUGGGGCAAUACCAAGCCAACUAAGUGGCCUGAUUAUGCUAGAUACUUUGAAUCUUUCACACAAUGAACUUAAUGGAUCCAUCCCGUCAUCAUUUUAG